RNAcentral lists this ribosomal RNA (441 nucleotides) under Triticum aestivum (bread wheat). RNAcentral describes it as "partial small subunit ribosomal RNA". Lineage: Eukaryota; Viridiplantae; Streptophyta; Magnoliopsida; Poales; Poaceae. The record is from RNAcentral.
AUGGAAUUCAGUUCAGUUUCAGUCCGAGUUACGGUGGCUGACAGCUUCUUUGCCUUGCUGCCUGCGUUUUCCGCCCGAUGGCGGAUUCACGCUCGCCCCUUGUCGCGUCCAACCAAGCCGUCGAACGUCGAUCGAGCGCCAUGGCCGUCUGCAACUGCAACUGCAAGAGACCUGCUGCCGUCCUCGACACGACGACACCGGCCACGCGACGACCACCCAAGGACCAGAAACGACCGGCUGCCACAAGAGGAGGCGCAUCCGGAUGGAUCAGCGGCACCGAGGACUACGAGGAGACGCGCGGCAUCGGCAAGGGCGGCUAGCUCCGGCAUCGUCGUCAAGGCACGCCACCGCACCACCGGCAAGACCGUGGCGAUCAAGUUCCUCGGCUGCACAGAGGACCCCGCCGACGGCACUAGGGAGCUCCGGCGUGAGGCCGGCUGA